GACGAACGCUGGCGGCGUGCUUAACACAUGCAAGUCGACCGGAAAGGCCCUGCUUUUGUGGGGUGCUCGAGUGGCGAACGGGUGAGUAACACGUGAGUAACCUGCCCUUGACUUUGGGAUAACUUCAGGAAACUGGGGCUAAUACCGGAUAGGAGCUCCUGCUGCAUGGUGGGGGUUGGAAGGUUUCGGCGGUUGGGGAUGGACUCGCGGCUUAUCAGCUUGUUGGUGGGGUAGUGGCUUACCAAGGCUUUGACGGGUAGCCGGCCUGAGAGGGUGACCGGCCACAUUGGGACUGAGAUACGGCCCAGACUCCUACGGGAGGCAGCAGUGGGGAAUAUUGCACAAUGGGCGGAAGCCUGAUGCAGCAACGCCGCGUGCGGGAUGACGGCCUUCGGGUUGUAAACCGCUUUCGCCUGUGACGAAGCGUGAGUGACGGUAAUGGGUAAAGAAGCACCGGCUAACUACGUG
RNAcentral lists this ribosomal RNA (468 nucleotides) under uncultured bacterium. RNAcentral's name for it is "partial 16S ribosomal RNA". It matches the Rfam family "Bacterial small subunit ribosomal RNA", at positions 28 to 507 of the family's 1533-position model. The record is from RNAcentral.